AAUGGGUCAGCGACUUAUAUUCUGUAGCAAGGUUAACCGAAUAGGGGAGCCGAAGGGAAACCGAGUCUUAACUGGGCGUUAAGUUGCAGGGUAUAGACCCGAAACCCGGUGAUCUAGCCAUGGGCAGGUUGAAGGUUGGGUAACACUAACUGGAGGACCGAACCGACUAAUGUUGAAAAAUUAGCGGAUGACUUGUGGCUGGGGGUGAAAGGCCAAUCAAACCGGGAGAUAGCUGGUUCUCCCCGAAAGCUAUUUAGGUAGCGCCUCGUGAAUUCAUCUCCGGGGGUAGAGCACUGUUUCGGCAAGGGGGUCAUCCCGACUUACCAACCCGAUGCAAACUGCGAAUACCGGAGAAUGUUAUCACGGGAGACACACGGCGGGUGCUAACGUCCGUCGUGAAGAGGGAAACAACCCAGACCGCCAGCUAAGGUCCCAAAGUCAUGGUUAAGUGGGAAACGAUGUGGGAAGGCCCAGACAGCCAGGAUGUUGGCUUAGAAGCAGCCAUCAUUUAAAGAAAGCGUAAUAGCUCACUGGUCGAGUCGGCCUGCGCGGAAGAUGUAACGGGGCUAAACCAUGCACCGAAGCUGCGGCAGCGACGCUUAUGCGUUGUUGGGUAGGGGAGCGUUCUGUAAGCCUGCGAAGGUGUGCUGUGAGGCAUGCUGGAGGUAUCAGAAGUGCGAAUGCUGA
RNAcentral lists this ribosomal RNA (687 nucleotides) under Escherichia coli. RNAcentral describes it as "partial 23S ribosomal RNA". It matches the Rfam family "Bacterial large subunit ribosomal RNA", at positions 614 to 1300 of the family's 2925-position model. The record is from RNAcentral. Lineage: Bacteria; Pseudomonadati; Pseudomonadota; Gammaproteobacteria; Enterobacterales; Enterobacteriaceae.